UACGUAGGGUGCGAGCGUUAAUCGGAAUUACUGGGCGUAAAGCGUGCGCAGGCGGUUUUGUAAGCCGGAUGUGAAAUCCCCGGGCUUAACCUGGGAAUGGCAUUCGGGACUGCAAGGCUGGAGUGCGGCAGAGGAGACUGGAAUUCCUGGUGUAGCAGUGAAAUGCGUAGAUAUCAGGAGGAACACCGAUGGCGAAGGCAGGUCUCUGGGCUGACACUGACGCUCAGGCACGAAAGCGUGGGGAGCAAACAGG
This 253-nucleotide ribosomal RNA is filed under the name uncultured bacterium. RNAcentral describes it as "partial 16S ribosomal RNA". It matches the Rfam family "Bacterial small subunit ribosomal RNA", at positions 524 to 776 of the family's 1533-position model. The record is from RNAcentral.